AGUGAACGCGGCGGCGUGCCUAAUACAUGCAAGUCGAACGGAAUUUAAAAGAGCUUGCUCUUUUAAAUUUAGUGGCGCACGGGUGAGUAAUAUAUAGCUAAUCUGCCCCUUGCUGGAGGACAACAGUUAGAAAUGACUGCUAAUACUCCAUACUCCUUUUUACCAUAAGAUAAAUCGGGAAAGAAUUUCGGCAAGGGAUGAGACUAUAUCGUAUCAGCUAGUCGGUGGGGUAACGGCCUACCGAGGCUAUGACGCGUAACUGGUCUGAGAGGAUGAUCAGUCACAUUGGAACUGAGACACGGUCCAAACUCCUACGGGAGGCAGCAGUAGGGAAUAUUGCGCAAUGGGGGAAACCCUGACGCAGCAACGCCGCGUGGAGGAUGACACUUUUCGGAGCGUAAACUCCUUUUGUUAGG
This 416-nucleotide ribosomal RNA is filed under the name Campylobacter gracilis. RNAcentral describes it as "bacterial SSU rRNA". It matches the Rfam family "Bacterial small subunit ribosomal RNA", at positions 29 to 443 of the family's 1533-position model. Lineage: Bacteria; Pseudomonadati; Campylobacterota; Epsilonproteobacteria; Campylobacterales; Campylobacteraceae. The record is from RNAcentral.